GGUCGGAAGUUCAAGUCUUCCCAGGCCCACCACACUCAUCGAGUGAGCAUUCGUCUUCUGGUUACGGGGCCAUAGCUCAGCUGGGAGAGCGCGUGCUUUGCAAGCAUGAGGUCGUCGGUUCGAUCCCGUCUGGCUCCACCAGAUGGUUUGAUCAUCGAUCGAUCGUGCAUCGAAAAUCGUCCGCGAAACAUCACUUCGCAUCCUGCUAGUCUGGAUAGACAGCAGAUUGCGUGAUUUCUGACAUCGUAAAGAGGAGAUCGAUCCGAGUUGGAUCGUGCAGCAAGCAAUUGCUACGCGAUACUUCAUUAUCUCCGGAUCAUUUCGGCGCUCGUGCGUCUUUUCAGGGCAGCUCACAAGGCUGCGUUUGAGAGACAAGCGAGUUGUAAAUGAUCCUUUUAGCGAAGCUUGACCGCCUCGCUAUCGGAACGAUCUUACGAAGCAAGCUGGUCUUUCUAAUCAUUGUCCGGCUGCAGAUAGCGUUCAUCGAGGGCGCGUGCCGCAAGGUAGUUCUGCAGACAACAUUCUGCCGAGUGUGUGGACAUUGAUAAUGAGAGC
Molecule: transfer RNA, 555 nt
Filed under: Bradyrhizobium sp. S3.135
Lineage: Bacteria; Pseudomonadati; Pseudomonadota; Alphaproteobacteria; Hyphomicrobiales; Nitrobacteraceae
Description: partial 16S-23S ribosomal RNA intergenic spacer
Rfam family: tRNA (bases 66-138)
Source: RNAcentral